UUCAAUCCCCUUCGGGCCUGGCUACAUCUCCUUCUCCCCAACCUCCUUCUCCACGACCGGCCGCCACCACAGCCAGGCCGGCGUGGUAAAGCGCCUCUCAACCAUCCAUCUGCCACACACCCAUCCAUCCAUGCCACCACCAGCACCCAGCCACCAGCAUCCAUCUCCUGCGCGCCACGACAGCACCACCAUGUACCACCAUCUCCAUUCAUCCGUCCACCGUGCCCCCGCAAGCGUCUCCUACUUUUGCUGUUGUUGCUCUAUCCCUCAUCCCCAUCCCCUGCUGCUGCUUGUCUCCUACUCCUCGCUGAUGCACCUAUUCCUCUCAACCUCCCUCCUGCUGCUUCUUCUCCCACGUUAUAGCCCCUGCUCCUUUUCUGAACCUCAAACUCUGCUGCACAAUCCACCUGAUGCCCAUGUUCCCCCCCUUGAUCCUAUCUCUUGCUUCUGCUGAUUUCGUCAACCUCCUACUCCUCUUCUUCUCCCCUCAUCCCUGCUGCUGCUCCUUUUCCCCAUUAUCUCCUGCUGGGUCCUAACCUGAAGCUCUUCUUCCCUUACCUCGCUGCUGCACCUCCUCCUCUCAACCUCCCUCUUGCUGCUCCUUUUCUCCCACUGCUGAGUCUCUCUUCUCCCAAAACUGCUACUCUAUCUCCCUCUCUCCCAAAUUUUUGUAAACUUGACAAGUGUAAUAUUCAGAAUUAUGUAAUAUUCAGAUUUGUGUUCUGACAAGUUAAUGCCUAGUUGCUCUGUAUAAUAUUUAGUUAUGUGAUUUUACGUUUUCAGUUAGUAUACUGCUAGCAUGUGUUUGUGUUCAACCUUGUGAACUUGUUUCAUUUUUUGUCCACGUAUUAGCUCAAGUGCCUGUGAUAUAUAUAAAUGCAUGUGUGUGUUUGUGUUGUGAAACAUCUAGCUCCUGUCAUAUAAUUCUGUUCUUUCCUCUGUUGUAUGUUAGCUAGUUAUAUACAUAUGUCCAUGUCUUUGACUUCUCUUUUGUAAUGUUGGCAUUUUAUUUCUCUAGUCUAUUGAUAAUACCAAAAAGGCAGAGAGUAUAAUCUGAACCUCCCUUUGCUUGUUUUACAUUUUCUUGGUCGAUGAAUU
RNAcentral lists this long non-coding RNA (1098 nucleotides) under Hordeum vulgare. RNAcentral describes it as "long non-coding RNA (HVUL_LNC012257)". The record is from RNAcentral. Lineage: Eukaryota; Viridiplantae; Streptophyta; Magnoliopsida; Poales; Poaceae.